UACGUAGGGCCCAAGCGUUAAUCGGAAUCACUGGGCUUAAAGGGUGCGCAGGCGGAUCUGUAAGUGCCUUGUGAAAUCCCACAGCUCAACUGUGGAAUUGCUCGGCAGACUGCAGAUCUUGAGCCCGACAGAGGUCGUCGGAACGAUAGGUGGAGCGGUGAAAUGCGUAGAUAUCUAUCGGAACGCCAAAGGUGAAGACAGACGACUGGGUCGGCGCUGACGCUCAGGCACGAAAGCGUGGGGAGCGAACGGG
This 253-nucleotide unclassified non-coding RNA is filed under the name uncultured Phycisphaeraceae bacterium. Its description in RNAcentral is "contains 16S-23S intergenic spacer region". It matches the Rfam family "Bacterial small subunit ribosomal RNA", at positions 524 to 776 of the family's 1533-position model. The record is from RNAcentral. Lineage: Bacteria; Pseudomonadati; Planctomycetota; Phycisphaerae; Phycisphaerales; Phycisphaeraceae.